This 72-nucleotide transfer RNA is filed under the name Saccoglossus kowalevskii. RNAcentral's name for it is "tRNA-Glu". It matches the Rfam family "tRNA". From Rfam's summary of the family: Transfer RNA (tRNA) molecules are approximately 80 nucleotides in length. Their secondary structure includes four short double-helical elements and three loops (D, anti-codon, and T loops). Lineage: Eukaryota; Metazoa; Hemichordata; Enteropneusta; Harrimaniidae. The record is from RNAcentral.
UCCCAUAUGUUUUAGUGGUUAGGAAUUGGCGCUUUCACCGCCAAGGCCCGGGUUCAAUUCCUGGCGUGGGAA